CUAUAAAUUACCUUCCCUCCAUUCCUCUCAAUCUCAGUCUAUUCACACCUACUACAUAGCAAAAAGUGAUAGUAAGAAGAAAGAUGGAGUCAUUUCAGUCUUGGGUUUCAGAACACAAGCUCACUGCCAUUGGAGCAGUUUGGGCAUCAGCAAUUGGGGCAUCACUGGCUUAUAAUAGUGGUGGAAGAAGCUCUCUUAAGCCAAGUCUGAGGCUUAUUCUGCAAGGAUGCACUCGCAGGCCUUAACUCUGGCGGUGCUGUCUGGUGCAGCUGCGUACCAUUACU
Molecule: long non-coding RNA, 284 nt
Organism: Hibiscus syriacus
Lineage: Eukaryota; Viridiplantae; Streptophyta; Magnoliopsida; Malvales; Malvaceae
Exons: 3
Source: RefSeq, a predicted model, not a curated record